GACAGCUCAGCAGCUAAGAGCACUUAUUCUUAUAGAGGACCUACAUACAAUUCCCAGCAUCCACACAGCACCUCCCAACCAUCUGUAACUCCAAGUUCAAGGGAUCCCACACCUUGUUCCGACCUUUGCUUUCAGCAGGCAUGAAUAUGGUGCUCAGGAAAACACACAGGCAAAACAUGUAUACAUAAACACACACACAAAGCCUAAAAUGACGAACAUAAACCUUCAAGCUGGAGUUUGACAUGGAAAGCCUGUAUGAUUCAGAGACAAAGGUGAACUGGGAGGGCGGUGACCCUCUUCUUGAACUCCCAGCCUUUUGGGCACAGCUCUCUUGCCUUCAUCCUUAUGCCCUUCACCCAUGGACAGAUUUAUUGAUCCAAGAGGAAUGCCUGAGAGGAACACUAACUGUGUCCUCUCAGUUUCCAGUGUGUAAGCAGAUGCCCUCCGUCCCCAAGAACAGAAGGACAAGAUCAGGCCGGGAUUUGGCGCUGGCCCCUGCAGCUAGACCUGCGCGGAGACUUAGAAUUGACAGCCACCUAAGGCUCAGUGGGUUCAAGGCCCUCAGUUCAAGAAGAUGAUUCUUUCUCUUACACACUGCGUUUCGGAAGGCAGAGGAGCCCAGAGUUCUGCAACGAGGUCUGCUCUGUGUUAUGGGGUCAGGUACCCCUCUAGGGUGCACACCUGGGAGUCCCUCAACCUGGGUCUGUCCGACUGUUCUGCAGUGAGAAGUGUCAAGGUUUGCCUUGCCUGGCCCCCAAAGAUAAUGAAGACCUCUCACAUCAAAAAGAGAAGACGCAAUGUGACCAACCAGCCUCCUGUUCCUGCCACCAUGCUUUCUCUCCCUUCAGAGAGAAGCUGAGACUCGGCACUGAGAGAGGCCAGGAGAGGCCAUUGGUGAAGCUGCAGCCUCAGUGGCGGUUGAAGGCCCAGGACUGAAGGGUUAUACCGAGUUGAGACUUGGCACUGUGAAGAGAGCCUAGGAGAGGCUGUUGGGAAAGUGCAGCCCAGUUGCAGAAGACCCCAGUGUUUUGGAGAUGCCAGUACCAUGGAAUGAACACCAAGAACUUCAGCAGUGGUGGAGUGGAGCCAGCCAGAGCCCAGAAGACAAGCUGUGUGUGCUGCAGAGGGCGGAGCUGGAGAAGUGACCCAAGCCCUUUGGAGAAGCCCAGAAAACAACUGAACACAAUGUUGAGCCGCACUGUGCCUGUCCACGGCAGUGAACCUCCUCCCAGCUCUCCGCUGUAAGAGACCACAACAAGAACUCCUACAGGCCAGGGAUGGGGGCUUUCCCAGAAGUCACCUCCUCACCCCUCACCUCGGACCUGCAGCAGCUGCAGCGAGGAGAAGUAAAUGCUUGUGGUUGGGAAUCACUUCAUCUAUGGUCAUUUGUCAUAGCAGCCCUAAUGGACCAAGACAAAUGGAACAGUGUUUCAUCUCAUCAGCAAGAACAUAACAAACAUAGCCAGCGUCAGCUGGCCGCACUCUGCAGAAGGAUGCUCUUGCACGGGUCGCCGUGGAAACACACUUAGGUGUGAAUCUGCAAACGUAUAUCCAGAAAGGUUGAAUGAGGAGGUCAACCUAUUUCUAGAAGAUGAGUGGCUACAGCUGUCUCCAAAGCAGACGCCAAUCAUCCUAGCUGCCAGCCCUAGCUCAAGAAAAUUAUGCACCCCUGGGCUAGUGAGAUGGCUCUGUGGGUAGAAGUACUUUCUGCCAAGCCUGAUGUUCUGAGUUCAAUACCUAGGACCCACAAGCUGUUCUCUUGACCUCCACAAGCUCAUCUGGCAUGCAUGCGUGCAUGCGUGCAUCCCCACACAUAAUAAUGUAAUUUAAAGAAUAUAUGCAGCUAUAGGAUACUGGGAAAUUGGGGUCCCCUCCUGGGGUUCAUAGCCUCAUUAACAGAAGAAUUUAAGAACAGACGCAAACAGAAGCUUAAAGACAACUUUAGAAGGGAAACUCCCAAACAGGUAAGCUGUAAAUAGAGCAGCUGCCAGGAGGGAGACAGAAGAAGGAAAGCCAAGCCAUUUUCGCUGGCAUGGAGGUCAGCUAGACAUUGGACAAGCAGCCGUGUGUUGGGAGGGGAGCAGAAGAGAAAGACUGAAGAAAACAUCAGUGUACCAGAGAAAGCGUACUUAGGGUCUGCUCAGCACCCGGAAGAAAAGUGCAGAAGAAAAAGAGAAAAAUAAUGUGUUUCUAAGUUAGGCCGACCCAGUGGGAGUUCAUGGCAGACCACGGGGACUGAGACAGAGCGGGGAGUUCUGGGAAGAAAGGGUGCAUCAUCUCAUUAAAGGUCUAACUAUUCUUCCCAUCUCUUUAA
Non-coding RNA from Myodes glareolus (Bank vole), 2314 nucleotides. The record is from RefSeq and is a predicted model, not a curated record. NCBI's taxonomy places the organism in Eukaryota, Metazoa, Chordata, Mammalia, Rodentia, Cricetidae.